GUCCUGGCAGUAAACGGUGCGCGUUUGGUGUGGGAGGAAUCGACCCCUUCCGUGCCGGAGCUAACGCGUUAAACGCGCCGCCUGGGGAGUACGGUCGCAAGAUUAAAACUCAAAGAAAUUGACGGGGGCCCGCACAAGCGGUGGAGUAUGUGGCUUAAUUCGAUGCAACGCGAAGAACCUUACCUAGGCUUGACAUGCAUCUCUAAGUCGGUGAAAGCCGGCGAGUACCGCAAGGUACAAUUUGCACAGGUGCUGCAUGGCUGUCGU
Molecule: ribosomal RNA, 267 nt
Filed under: uncultured bacterium
Lineage: Bacteria
Description: partial 16S ribosomal RNA
Rfam family: Bacterial small subunit ribosomal RNA
Source: RNAcentral